Cucumis melo (muskmelon) is the source of this 356-nucleotide long non-coding RNA. RefSeq lists it as uncharacterized. The transcript has 2 exons. Lineage: Eukaryota; Viridiplantae; Streptophyta; Magnoliopsida; Cucurbitales; Cucurbitaceae. The record is from RefSeq and is a predicted model, not a curated record.
UUUGAGAUUGAUUGGAAGGAUCGAAAAAAGCUAAGGAAACUAUUCUGUCAAAGUCCAUCGUCUUCAUACAUGGAUGUCGGUCUAUCAACUUCUUACAUACAUGGACACGAACGUGGCCAUGGAAAAUAUAACGAAUAUUUGUACUAUGAAACACCCGCAGAGGUAUCAGAUCUACAAGAGUACCAACAAGAAUCAAAAAACCAAGAGGAGCCAAAACAACAUAGAGUUUAGAGUCGACGGCGACAACUAGCUCGAAAUCCACGCUGUCUAGGUUGUGAAACACAUUGAUUUUCUUUGAUCAUUUAAAUGAAUGUAAUUUGGUUAUUAAAAAAUAUUUUAAUUUACAUUUAAUUUUU